UAGAGUUUGAUCCUGGCUCAGGAUGAACGCUAGCGGCAGGCUUAAUACAUGCAAGUCGAGGGGCAGCGCAGUGUAGCAAUACAUGGGCGGCGACCGGCAAACGGGUGCGGAACACGUACGCAAUCUACCCGAAACUGGGGCAUAGCCCGGGGAAACCCGGAUUAAUACCCCGUAACACUUUGAAGUGGCAUCACUUUAUAGUUAUAGCUCCGGCGGUUUUGGAUGAGCGUGCGGCUGAUUAGGUAGUUGGCGGGGUAACGGCCCACCAAGCCUACGAUCAGUAACUGGUGUGAGAGCACGACCAGUCACACGGGCACUGAGACACGGGCCCGACUCCUACGGGAGGCAGCAGUAAGGAAUAUUGGUCAAUGGACGCAAGUCUGAACCAGCCAUGCCGCGUGGAGGAUGAAGGCCCUCUGGGUUGUAAACUUCUUUUAUGGGGGACGAAACCUCUUUUUCUAAAGAGACUGACGGUACCCUAGGAAUAAGCACCGGCUAACUCCGUGCCAGCAGCCGCGGUAAUACGGAGGGUGCAAGCGUUAUCCGGAUUCACUGGGUUUAAAGGGUGCGUAGGCGGGCAGGUAAGUCAGUGGUGAAAUCUCUGGGCUUAACUCAGAAACUGCCGUUGAUACUAUCUGUCUUGAAUUCUGUGGAGGUGAGCGGAAUAUGUCAUGUAGCGGUGAAAUGCUUAGAUAUGACAUAGAACACCNNNUGCGAAGGCAGCUCACUACACAGC
RNAcentral lists this ribosomal RNA (736 nucleotides) under bacterium enrichment culture clone SC-2_56. Its description in RNAcentral is "bacterial SSU rRNA". It matches the Rfam family "Bacterial small subunit ribosomal RNA", at positions 1 to 737 of the family's 1533-position model. The record is from RNAcentral.